RNAcentral lists this microRNA precursor (70 nucleotides) under Schistosoma margrebowiei. RNAcentral's name for it is "mir-3492 microRNA precursor family". It matches the Rfam family "mir-3492 microRNA precursor family". Lineage: Eukaryota; Metazoa; Platyhelminthes; Trematoda; Strigeidida; Schistosomatidae. The record is from Rfam by way of RNAcentral.
GGCUUCUUUCCGUGCUGAGAUUUCGUCACACACCAGAACACAAAGGUUGGUGAGAUUCCCAAGUGAAGCG